CGAGCUCACAAAGAGCACGCGCAUUUUUGCGGUCCGGAGCUGUAGGAGAAACACAAACUACCUCAGACACACAGACUGAUGCGACAAAACCAACAUGGCUGGUAAGGACAUGAGGAGAAAACAGUAGGAGCUGUGUGAGGAUACUAAAGGCAGUGGAUCCCUCAGCAGCUGGAUUACAAAGAGCACAGUCUCAGAUCAACACAGCCCUGCCCUCCAGCACUAUCAGCAGCAGGAGCAGCAGCAAUACAGGCUACGUUUGCUUUGCCUCACAACAGUGAUAUACUUUGAGCACCCGCCCCUAUAAACGUCUCUGCACGGCCCUGAAACAGCCACUUCAUAAACACUUGGCACAACACAGAAGAGCCACACAAACAGGACAAGACUCAGCUGUGCAUCUGCAUCUGAAGGACAAAGGUCACUCAUUCGAGAAUGCCAGUGUUCACAUUUUGGACAAAGAAGACAGACAGUUUGAAAGAGGAAUGAAAGAAGCCAUCUAUGUCCACUGGAAAUGACCAUCCUCGAACUGAGGGAGUGAGUUACAACACCAACUCUCUGCCACCUAUAAUCCAGUUUGAGAUCCCUUCCCAGGCACCUUAUCAC
Oreochromis aureus is the source of this 600-nucleotide long non-coding RNA. Lineage: Eukaryota; Metazoa; Chordata; Actinopteri; Cichliformes; Cichlidae. The record is from Ensembl.